Centruroides sculpturatus (bark scorpion) is the source of this 639-nucleotide long non-coding RNA. RefSeq lists it as uncharacterized. NCBI's taxonomy places the organism in Eukaryota, Metazoa, Arthropoda, Arachnida, Scorpiones, Buthidae. The transcript has 3 exons. The record is from RefSeq and is a predicted model, not a curated record.
AAAAUGGCGACCGGAAGUGCUGCCAUUGGGACUACCUAAGACUGCUUAUAAAUACUAUUUUAAUAAUGCCGGUCUGGUCGAUGACUGCCAUCAACAGAGUACGAAAUCACCUUGAACUUGAAAAUGUUGUGUUUCAAAUACAGAACCUAUAUUUGAGUUUCCAAGAAUCCAAUUACUACCCCCAAAAUGUCUGACAAUAACAAGAAUAAUAUAAGUGAUGAAGUGAAGAAAAAGAAAAUAAAACAUUACUGGACAAAAUUCAAUGACAACUGGCUAACAAAUGUGAGGUAUCAAAGCAUGGUAUAAAACAUAAAAUUUUAGAUAUUUACACCGACUAUUAUAAGUCAUCUGAAGUGAUAUCUAACAAAAUAACAGUGUGUCUAAAAGAGAAUGGCCUUACAAUUGAAUAUGUUACAUCUUAUUCAGCCGACAAUGCCUCAGUUAAUUAUGGAAAGAACAAUUCUGUUUUUCAAAAAUUAUGUAAGUUAAAUGCAUAUACGUUAAAGGCAAAUUGUUUGUCAUGUUAUUUACAAUGCAGCUACAUUUGCUUGUAAAAAAUUACCACCAGAAUUUGAUACAGAAACACUUGUGAAUAAAAUAUAUUCUGAACUUUCAUGUAGCACAACAGCCAUAAGAGAA